Mastomys coucha (southern multimammate mouse) is the source of this 126-nucleotide small nucleolar RNA. RefSeq annotates it as small nucleolar RNA SNORA17. The transcript has a single exon. The record is from RefSeq and is a predicted model, not a curated record. Lineage: Eukaryota; Metazoa; Chordata; Mammalia; Rodentia; Muridae.
CCAGUCCCCAGGGGCAUUGCAGGUAACAUGCCACGCAAGACUCCUGUGUCAUAUGUGCUUCAGAGAAGAGAGAGGCUAUAUCAGUGUCUGACCUGUGCACAUCUGGAUGGUUGGUAGCCUAACAUU